Molecule: ribosomal RNA, 253 nt
Filed under: uncultured bacterium
Lineage: Bacteria
Description: partial 16S ribosomal RNA
Rfam family: Bacterial small subunit ribosomal RNA
Source: RNAcentral
UACGUAGGGGCCUAGCGUUGUCCGGAUUUAUUGGGCGUAAAGGGCUCGUAGGCGGCCAACUAAGUCAGACGUGAAAUCCCUCGGCUUAACCGGGGAACUGCGUCUGAUACUGGAUGGCUUGAGGUUGGGAGAGGGAUGCGGAAUUCCAGGUGUAGCGGUGAAAUGCGUAGAUAUCUGGAGGAACACCGGUGGCGAAGGCGGCAUCCUGGACCAAUUCUGACGCUGAGGAGCGAAAGCCAGGGGAGCAAACGGG